Molecule: ribosomal RNA, 215 nt
Filed under: Glomeromycotina sp.
Lineage: Eukaryota; Fungi; Glomeromycota
Description: partial small subunit ribosomal RNA
Rfam family: Eukaryotic small subunit ribosomal RNA (bases 39-215)
Source: RNAcentral
GGUCAGUAGGUUGGUCGUGCCACCGGUACGUACUGGUCUCACUGAUUCCUCCUUCCUGAAGAACCUUAAUGCCAUUAAUUUGGUGUUGCUGGGAAACAGGACUGUUACUUUGAAAAAAUUAGAGUGUUUAAAGCAAGCUAACGCUUGAAUACAUUAGCAUGGAAUAAUGAAAUAGGACGAUCGAUCCUAUUUUGUUGGUUUCUAGGAUUGACGUA